Molecule: unclassified non-coding RNA, 416 nt
Filed under: Bombus terrestris (buff-tailed bumblebee)
Lineage: Eukaryota; Metazoa; Arthropoda; Insecta; Hymenoptera; Apidae
Description: misc RNA ENSBTSG00005032511.1
Source: RNAcentral
AGAUAGAAUAGUAACCAUAAAAGAUACAACUUAUAACAUCAUGGGAAUAAAUAUUGUAUGAAGUGUACCUAUUUUAUGUUUCUUUAAUUAAUUAUUCGAUCAACUAUUAUCGUUAUAUGAACUAUUAUUACCAUGAGAUAGUAUUAUCAAUUCAAUCACUAACAACGAGAAUUACACAAAAUUUGUCUCUGUAAACAUGAAUAUUAUGGAUGAAUAUUAUGGAUAUCUAUUAUUGAUAUUAUUGAUAAAUAAAAAAGAAAUAUGACAUUGAACGCGUGUAUUAAAGCUGUAAAUUAAGGCAAUUAUUUGUACGGACAGACACGAUUUUCACUUCCUGGUGUCUAGACAUAUUCAUUCCACGUAGAUAAACGUAAAAUACAUGUGAUCAAAUUGGACGAGUAAUAAUGUUAUAUCUU